AGAGUUUGAUCCUGGCUCAGGAUGAACGCUGGCGGCAUGCCUAAUACAUGCAAGUCGAACGAAGUUUCGAGGAAGCUUGCUUCCAAAGAGACUUAGUGGCGAACGGGUGAGUAACACGUAGGUAACCUGCCCAUGUGUCCGGGAUAACUGCUGGAAACGGUAGCUAAAACCGGAUAGGUAUACAGAGCGCAUGCUCAGUAUAUUAAAGCGCCCAUCAAGGCGUGAACAUGGAUGGACCUGCGGCGCAUUAGCUAGUUGGUGAGGUAACGGCYCACCAAGGCGAUGAUGCGUAGCCGGCCUGAGAGGGUAAACGGCCACAUUGGGACUGAGACACGGCCCAAACUCCUACGGGAGGCAGCAGUAGGGAAUUUUCGUCAAUGGGGGAAACCCUGAACGAGCAAUGCCGCGUGAGUGAAGAAGGUCUUCGGAUCGUAAAGCUCUGUUGUAAGUGAAGAACGGAUCAUAGAGGAAAUGCUAUGGGAGUGACGGUAGCUUACCAGAAAGCCACGGCUAACUACGUGCCAGCAGCCGCGGU
Molecule: ribosomal RNA, 535 nt
Filed under: Clostridium sp. A7-49
Lineage: Bacteria; Bacillati; Bacillota; Clostridia; Eubacteriales; Clostridiaceae
Description: bacterial SSU rRNA
Rfam family: Bacterial small subunit ribosomal RNA
Source: RNAcentral